CAGUAGCCGCGGUAAAACCAGCAGCCCAAGUGGUGGUCGCGAUUAUUGGGCCUAAAGCGCUCGUAGCCGGGCCGGUAAGUCCCUUGUGAAAUCGGACGGCCUAACCGUUCGGCGUGCAAGGGAUACUGUCGGUCUUGAGGCCGGGAGACGUCCGAGGUACUCCGGGGGUAGCGGUGAAAUGUUCUGAUCCUCGGGGGACCACCGGUGGCGAAGGCGGCCCCCUGGACGAAGACUGACGCUCAGGUACGAAAGCGUGGGGAGCAAACAGGAUUAGAGACCCCCGUAGUCCCUGUCUCUUAUU
RNAcentral lists this ribosomal RNA (301 nucleotides) under uncultured bacterium. Its description in RNAcentral is "partial 16S ribosomal RNA". It matches the Rfam family "Archaeal small subunit ribosomal RNA", at positions 459 to 759 of the family's 1478-position model. The record is from RNAcentral.